Molecule: ribosomal RNA, 293 nt
Filed under: uncultured bacterium
Lineage: Bacteria
Description: partial 16S ribosomal RNA
Rfam family: Bacterial small subunit ribosomal RNA
Source: RNAcentral
GGAUUAGAUACCCUGGUAGUCCACACCGUAAACGAUGUCUACUAGCUGUUUGUGUAUUUAAUACGUGAGUAGCGCAGCUAACGCGCUAAGUAGACCGCCUGGGGAGUACGGCCGCAAGGUUAAAACUCAAAUGAAUUGACGGGGGCCCGCACAAGCGGUGGAGCAUGUGGUUUAAUUCGAUGCAACGCGAAGAACCUUACCAUCCCUUGACAUCCUUGAAAGAAAGUGGAGACAUUUUUGUGCCUUCGGGAAUCAAGUGACAGGUGCUGCAUGGCUGUCGUCAGCUCGUGCCG